RNAcentral lists this ribosomal RNA (495 nucleotides) under uncultured bacterium. RNAcentral describes it as "partial 16S ribosomal RNA". It matches the Rfam family "Bacterial small subunit ribosomal RNA", at positions 28 to 507 of the family's 1533-position model. The record is from RNAcentral.
GACGAACGCUGGCGGCGUGCCUAAUACAUGCAAGUAGAACGCUGAAGGAGGAGCUUGCUUCUCCGGAUGAGUUGCGAACGGGUGAGUAACGCGUAGGUAACCUGCCUGGUAGCGGGGGAUAACUAUUGGAAACGAUAGCUAAUACCGCAUAACAGUAGAUGUUGCAUGACAUUUGCUUAAAAGGUGCAAUUGCAUCACUACCAGAUGGACCUGCGUUGUAUUAGCUAGUUGGUGAGGUAACGGCUCACCAAGGCGACGAUACAUAGCCGACCUGAGAGGGUGAUCGGCCACACUGGGACUGAGACACGGCCCAGACUCCUACAGGAGGCAGCAGUAGGGAAUCUUCGGCAAUGGAUGGAAGUCUGACCGAGCAACGCCGCGUGAGUGAAGAAGGGUUUCGGAUCGUAAAGCUCUGUUGUAAGAGAAGAACGAGUGUGAGAGUGGAAAGUUCACACUGUGACGGUAGCUUACCAGAAAGGGACGGCUAACUACGUG